GACGAACGCUGGCGGCGUGCCUAAUACAUGCAAGUCGAACGCUUCUUUUCCACCGGAGCUUGCUCCACCGGAAAAAGAGGAGUGGCGAACGGGUGAGUACACGUGGGUAACCUGCCCAUCAGAAGGGGAUAACACUUGGAAACAGGUGCUAAUACCGUAUAACAAUCAAAACCGCAUGGUUUUGAUUUGAAAGGCGCUUUCGGGUGUCGCUGAUGGAUGGACCCGCGGUGCAUUAGCUAGUUGGUGAGGUAACGGCUCACCAAGGCCACGAUGCAUAGCCGACCUGAGAGGGUGAUCGGCCACAUUGGGACUGAGACACGGCCCAAACUCCUACGGGAGGCAGCAGUAGGGAAUCUUCGGCAAUGGACGAAAGUCUGACCGAGCAACGCCGCGUGAGUGAAGAAGGUUUUCGGAUCGUAAAACUCUGUUGUUAGAGAAGAACAAGGAUGAGAGUAACUGUUCAUCCCUUGACGGUAUCUAACCAGAAAGCCACGGCUAACUACGUGCCAGCAGCCGCGGUAAUACGUAGGUGGCAAGCGUUGUCCGGAUUUAUUGGGCGUAAAGCGAGCGCAGGCGGUUUCUUAAGUCUGAUGUGAAAGCCCCCGGCUCAACCGGGGAGGGUCAUUGGAAACUGGGAGACUUGAGUGCAGAAGAGGAGAGUGGAAUUCCAUGUGUAGCGGUGAAAUGCGUAGAUAUAUGGAGGAACACCAGUGGCGAAGGCGGCUCUCUGGUCUGUAACUGACGCUGAGGCUCGAAAGCGUGGGGAGCAAACAGG
This 775-nucleotide ribosomal RNA is filed under the name uncultured Bacilli bacterium. RNAcentral describes it as "bacterial SSU rRNA". It matches the Rfam family "Bacterial small subunit ribosomal RNA", at positions 28 to 776 of the family's 1533-position model. Lineage: Bacteria; Bacillati; Bacillota; Bacilli. The record is from RNAcentral.